This 202-nucleotide ribosomal RNA is filed under the name Clostridioides difficile. Its description in RNAcentral is "partial 16S ribosomal RNA". It matches the Rfam family "Bacterial small subunit ribosomal RNA", at positions 286 to 505 of the family's 1533-position model. The record is from RNAcentral. Lineage: Bacteria; Bacillati; Bacillota; Clostridia; Peptostreptococcales; Peptostreptococcaceae.
GCCGACCUGAGAGGGUGAUCGGCCACAUUGGAACUGAGACACGGUCCAAACUCCUACGGGAGGCAGCAGGGGGGAAUAUUGCACAAUGGGCGAAAGCCUGAUGCAGCAACGCCGCGUGAGUGAUGAAGGCCUUCGGGUCGUAAAACUCUGUCCUCAAGGAAGAUAAUGACGGUACUUGAGGAGGAAGCCCCGGCUAACUACG